AUUGUUACCUAACAGCUUCUGCAGCAGGCCGUACCUCUGCAUCCACCACCUUUGUGCCAAGGCCACAGUCUUCCCAGGCAGCCCCCAGCCAAUGAGCGUGGUGGGCGCACUAGCCAAGGGCCUGAUAUAGGCCAGUUCUGAUGGGCAGCAUGCACUCUCCUCAACCUGACCAAGGCUUUUGCAGGGCCGCGUUGUGGUCUGUGGCUCCUCCUAUUCAAUCCACCCUCCUUUCCUCUCUCCUUUUCCAGCUGUCAGACCUACAUUACUAUCGGAAGGCUCUCCUACUCCUGCCACCUGGUCCUUUACCAUUUGUGUCCCCAGACAUUGCCAAAUGUCCACUGAGAGACCACAUCCCCUGGAUGAGGACCAUGAGUAUAAGCCCCAGAGGAAGAGAAAUUAAAGAAGCUCACACAUCAGCAGAGAAGUACAAGCUCCUCUAGGAAUGGAGACUCACAAGAGCAUCUGGCUUACACUGGAUCCCUCAAGUUCUUGGAAUGUUUCUUUCUGUGUUUAUUUCUGAAGGGUUCGUAAGUAGUGUGUAAAGUCAAGUAUUAGAAUAUUAAUGCUACUUAUUCUAUUUUUACUCACACAUAAUUU
This 597-nucleotide long non-coding RNA is filed under the name Vulpes vulpes (red fox). RNAcentral describes it as "lncRNA (ENSVVUG00000002243.1)". The record is from RNAcentral. Lineage: Eukaryota; Metazoa; Chordata; Mammalia; Carnivora; Canidae.